This 825-nucleotide ribosomal RNA is filed under the name uncultured bacterium. Its description in RNAcentral is "bacterial SSU rRNA". It matches the Rfam family "Bacterial small subunit ribosomal RNA", at positions 8 to 812 of the family's 1533-position model. The record is from RNAcentral.
AGAGUUUGAUCCUGGCUCAGAACGAACGCUGGUAGCGUGGAUUAGGCAUGCAAGUCGAACGGGAUCACCUGGAUAGCAAUAUUCGGGUGUGAGAGUGGCGGAUUGGGGAGGAACACGUGAACAACCUGCCCGUGAGUUGGGGAAAACCAUUGGAAACGAUGGCUAAUAUCCGAUGUGGCGCCCGGGGACAUCCUCGGAGCGCUAAAGGGGGCCGCAAGGCUCCCGCUCGUGGAGGGGUUCGCGCACCAUCAGCUUGUUGGCGGGGUAACGGCCCACCAAGGCCUACGGUUAGCUGGUCUGAGAGGAUGACCAGCCCCACUGGGACUGAGAUACUGCCCAGACUCCUACGGGAGGCUGCAGUCGAGGAUCAUUUGCAAUGGGCGAAAGCCUGACAAUGCGACGCUGCGUGGAGGAUGAAGGCCUUCGGGUUGUAAACUCCUGUCAUAGGGGAACAGGCGAUCCGACCUAAUACGUCGGUGAGUUGAGUGUACCCUAAGAGGAAUUGGCGGCUAACUCUGUGCCAGCAGCCGCGGUAAUACAGAGGCCAAGAGCGUUGUUCGGAUUUACUGGGCGUAAAGGGCGCGUAGGCGGUCUUGCGUGUCAAGUGUGAAAUCUCCGGGCUCAACCCGGAAAGUGCGCUUGAAACUACAGGACUCGAGUCUGGGAGAGGGAAUCGGAAUAUAGGGUGUAGCGGUGAAAUGCGUUGAUAUCCUAUAGAACACCGGAGGCGAAGGCGGAUUCCUUGAACGGUACUGACGCUGAGGCGCGAAAGUCGGGGGAGCAAACAGGAUUAGAUACCCUGGUAGUCCCGACCUUAAACGGUGC